UAAACUUGAACAUUAAGAAAAGUACUGUUAGUACUUCUGUUCUGUGACAUAGGCACUACAUUGCUGUUUUUUUAGAAUUGUAGAAGUCUGUUUUCCUCAGAAAUGAUGCACCUCAGAUGCCUGUGAAUAUCUCCAGGCUUUCUAUCAGGUGUUCAAUAGAAGCUGCUGCAUUUAGAUCAGCUUGGAUUUAAUUUGUUUUUGAUCAUUUAUGGUACACGCGCUGUUUGGAAAAGUAACUGAAAGUUUCUCUAGCUCAUGUACUUCUAAGGGAGACGAAUAACUGAUCUUUCCUUCCUUUGGAGGGAUCUCUUGAGCCUGUGUGGAAAACAAAGAGUUACAGCAGUGCUGACUCUUUUCCUUCCCACCUACCUUGAACGCAGACUGGCUCUCUCUUUAAGCAGUAUGCCGAAGGUGAAAUGAGAGAGGCAAUAGGAAAAAGUGCACCUUAUUCAAGUUCCUUUCAGGAUUUUGGUGAUUAGAAUUGCCAGAAGCAAGUCCUCGAAGCAUAAAGAUGCAGUCUUUCCCCUCCAAACGGAUCCCUGUGGUAUACAGCAUACCAGCUCCCAAUGAUUCUGAACAUGGAUCUGGGCAGAGUCCGAAUCUUCACCAUCUCCAGUCUCCUCAAGAAGAAAUCUCAUAUGUGCAGCAUUCUUUCUUCAAACAGAUGAAUUUGCAUUUCUGGAGAAGGUGGCUUCUAGGAAUGUUACCUCUGAUUUCCUUAGCAGUCACUGUACUCGUGUUGGUCCUGUACUAUUCAUUAUCUCCAGCAUUCUCCUUUAUCUAUAUUGGUGGAAGUGUAGAAAUACCUAACUUGACCUAUAGAAGUGACCUCACUGAUCCAAAGUCACAGAAAUUUAUAAUGCAAGCAGAAGCAAUCCAGAACUAUGUAAGUACUCACAGGUGACAUAGCCUAUAACUCGAAAACAUUUUAUCACUGGUUUAGUUGAAAUCCUUUCUUCAAAAUUCAAAGGUAUAGUAGAAAGCUGAGGUUUGAGUCAUGGGUAUUUGUUCUUUUCUUUCAAAGUAAUAAAAUCUAGGAUUAGUCUGGGAGAGAGUCA
This 1058-nucleotide long non-coding RNA is filed under the name Chrysemys picta bellii (western painted turtle). Its description in RNAcentral is "lncRNA (ENSCPBG00000005452.1)". The record is from RNAcentral. Lineage: Eukaryota; Metazoa; Chordata; Testudines; Emydidae.